This 352-nucleotide ribosomal RNA is filed under the name uncultured bacterium. RNAcentral describes it as "bacterial SSU rRNA". It matches the Rfam family "Bacterial small subunit ribosomal RNA", at positions 8 to 350 of the family's 1533-position model. The record is from RNAcentral.
AGAGUUUGAUCCUGGCUCAGGAUGAACGCUGGCGGCGUGCUUAACACAUGCAAGUCGAACGAAGAUGCCGGAGUGCUUGCACUUUGGCAGACUGAGUGGCGGACGGGUGAGUAACGCGUGGGUAACCUGCCUUAUACAGGGGGAUAACAGUUGGAAACGACUGCUAAUACCGCAUAAGCGCACGGUAUCGCAUGAUACAGUGUGAAAAACUCCGGUGGUAUAAGAUGGACCCGCGUCUGAUUAGCUUGUUGGUGAGGUAACGGCCACCAAGGCGACGAUCAGUAGCCGGCCUGAGAGGGUGAACGGCCACAUUGGGGACUGGAGACACGGCCCAAACGUCCUACGGGAGGCA